Molecule: ribosomal RNA, 478 nt
Filed under: uncultured bacterium
Lineage: Bacteria
Description: partial 16S ribosomal RNA
Rfam family: Bacterial small subunit ribosomal RNA
Source: RNAcentral
GACGAACGCUGGCGGCGUGCUUAACACAUGCAAGUCGAACGGUAAGGCCCUUCGGGGUACACGAGUGGCGAACGGGUGAGUAACACGUGGGUGAUCUGCCCUGCACUUCGGGAUAAGCCUGGGAAACUGGGUCUAAUACCGGAUAGGACUCCUGGCUUCAUGGUUGGGGGUGGAAAGCUUUUGCGGUGUGGGAUGGGCCCGCGGCCUAUCAGCUUGUUGGUGGGGUAAUGGCCUACCAAGGCGACGACGGGUAGCCGGCCUGAGAGGGUGACCGGUCACACUGGGACUGAGAUACGGCCCAGACUCCUACGGGAGGCAGCAGUGGGGAAUAUUGCACAAUGGGCGCAAGCCUGAUGCAGCGACGCCGCGUGAGGGAUGACGGCCUUCGGGUUGUAAACCCCUCUCAGCCAUGACGAAGCGCAAGUGACGGUAGUAGCAGAAGAAGGACCGGCCAACUACGUGCCAGCAGCCGCAGUAA